RNAcentral lists this ribosomal RNA (497 nucleotides) under uncultured bacterium. RNAcentral's name for it is "partial 16S ribosomal RNA". It matches the Rfam family "Bacterial small subunit ribosomal RNA", at positions 28 to 507 of the family's 1533-position model. The record is from RNAcentral.
GAUGAACGCUGGCGGCGUGCCUAAUACAUGCAAGUCGAGCGAACAGACGAGGAGCUUGCUCCUCUGACGUUAGCGGCGGACGGGUGAGUAACACGUGGAUAACCUACCUAUAAGACUGGGAUAACUUCGGGAAACCGGAGCUAAUACCGGAUAAUAUAUUGAACCGCAUGGUUCAAUAGUGAAAGACGGUUUUGCUGUCACUUAUAGAUGGAUCCGCGCCGCAUUAGCUAGUUGGUAAGGUAACGGCUUACCAAGGCGACGAUGCGUAGCCGACCUGAGAGGGUGAUCGGACACAUUGGAACUGGGACACGGUCCAGACUCCUAGGGGAGGCAGCAGUAGGGAAUCUUCCGCAAUGGGCGGAAGCCUGACGGAGCAACGCCGCGUGAGUGAUGAAGGUCUUCGGAUCGUAAAACUCUGUUAUUAGGGAAGAACAAAUGUGUAAGUAACUAUGCACGUCUUGACGGUACCUAAUCAGAAAGCCACGGCUAACUACGUG